Molecule: non-coding RNA, 849 nt
Filed under: Pan troglodytes (chimpanzee)
Lineage: Eukaryota; Metazoa; Chordata; Mammalia; Primates; Hominidae
Source: RNAcentral
GAGGGCGGGGACCGCUGCGCCUACCUGCUUUUCCCUCCAUAGGGACUUCCCAAAGGAAAGGAGGGCGUUUAGGGGCUUUCACACGCCUGAUCUUAAACACAGCGCCCUGACCCCUCCCCUCCAAAAACGGCAAAAUGUCAUUUUUGGGGGCAAAUCUAAGGUUUUCCCUACAAUUGUUCAAGCUUUCACACUAAAACAUUUACCUAAAAACGGGCAGAAAUUCAGCCUUAAACCCACAAAUCUCACGAUGGUAUGGACCCUGGGCCCACUCAGGUUUCCUGAAAACUAAACAAUUCUGGAGUUAGGGGUUUGGAGAACGGGCUAUUGUUAAAGAAAAAAGUAUUUAGUGACACUUGUUAAAGCACAAAAAGAGGGCUUUAUUCAGGACCAUCGCAACAGGUAUAGGGACCACUGACUGCAAUGGAGACUUGCAGUGGGGAAAGAGAUAUUGGGCUCAACUCCUCAUACAGCAUGGGCAAGUGGAGAUUUAUAGCCAAGGAGCGGUGACAGGCCAAGAUAAUGAGGCAUCACCUGGGGGAUGGUGGAGACUGAAGAACCUGAUCAGAUAUUGAGGAUGAUCAGCUAUCAAGGAUGGGGGUUUAUUGCUAAUCUGACUUAGCAAAGCUCUUUGUUUAAACUGGAUUUUACAAAGAAAGUGUACAGAAGAGCCUAGCAGAAGAUUCAGAAACCUGACUAAAGUUGGCCAAGCAAAAAAAAAAAUCUUUGUAUCUAAAGGGAUAUGUUAUCCUCUGGACAAAUUGAGGGGGGCUGUGCGUUAACAAUCUUAGCAGUCCUCUUCAGUUGUACCACCAUCUCCACUUUAAUGAAAAAAAAAUUUCUUUCAAAUCU